UCCCUAUACGGCGAGUGAAGCGGGAAGAGCUCAAAUUUGAAAUCUGGUGGCCUCAGGUCAUCCGAGUUGUAAUCUAUAGAAACGUUUUCCGUGCUGGCUCAUGUACAAGUCCCUUGGAACAGGGCGUCAUAGAGGGUGAGAAUCCCGUCCUUGACAUGAACUACCAGUGCUCUGUGAUACGUUUUCAACGAGUCGAGUUGUUUGGGAAUGCAGCUCAAAAUGGGUGGUAAAUUCCAUCUAAAGCUAAAUAUUGGCGAGAGACCGAUAGCGAACAAGUACCGUGAGGGAAAGAUGAAAAGCACUUUGGAAAGAGAGUUAAACAGUAUGUGAAAUUGUUAAAAGGGAAACGAUUGAAGUCAGUCGUGCUCUUUGGAUUCAGCCGGUUCUGCCGGUGUACUUCCAUUGAGUGGGGUCAACAUCAGUUUUAGAUCGCUGGAUAAAGGCAGGAAGAAUGUAGCACCUACCGGGUGAACUUAUAGCUUUCUGUCACAUACAGUGGUUAGGGACUGAGGAACGCAGCAUGCCUUUAUGGCCGGGAUUCGUCCACGUACAUGCUUAGGAUGUUGACAUAAUGGCUUUAAACGACCCGUC
This 591-nucleotide ribosomal RNA is filed under the name Filobasidium wieringae. RNAcentral's name for it is "eukaryotic LSU rRNA". It matches the Rfam family "Eukaryotic large subunit ribosomal RNA", at positions 76 to 653 of the family's 3401-position model. The record is from RNAcentral. Lineage: Eukaryota; Fungi; Basidiomycota; Tremellomycetes; Filobasidiales; Filobasidiaceae.